RNAcentral lists this long non-coding RNA (267 nucleotides) under Gossypium barbadense (sea-island cotton). Its description in RNAcentral is "long non-coding RNA (GBAR_LNC022610)". The record is from RNAcentral. Lineage: Eukaryota; Viridiplantae; Streptophyta; Magnoliopsida; Malvales; Malvaceae.
GCAUUGGCAGAGUACUGUGGAUCUCCUAAACACAUGUCAAACUCAGAAGGAUCUUCAAAAAAUUUGUACAGAGAAGUUCAAGCUGCGAUAUCUGGGGCACCCAAUUUUCAUACUAUUGAAUUUGUUAUUCUUGGAAUACUUCAUUCUUUUCAAAGAUACACAUUCCCAAUCAAUUUCUUUGUUAUCUUUUUUUUACUAUAAUUUAUUCUUAUCCCUUGUUAUGACCUUUUUGUAAGCAUGUUGCAUUGGAAUAAUGAUCAAUGGACU